AGCGGCGGACGGGUGAGUAAUGCUUAGGAAUUUGCCCAGCCGAGGGGGACAACAGUUGGAAACGACUGCUAAUACCGCAUACGCCCUACGGGGGAAAGCAGGGGCUCUUCGGACCUUGCGCGAUUGGAUAAGCCUAAGUGAGAUUAGCUAGUUGGUGAGGUAAUGGCUCACCAAGGCGACGAUCUCUAGCUGGUUUGAGAGGAUGAUCAGCCACACUGGGACUGAGACACGGCCCAGACUCCUACGGGAGGCAGCAGUGGGGAAUAUUGCACAAUGGGCGAAAGCCUGAUGCAGCCAUGCCGCGUGUGUGAAGAAGGCCUUCGGGUUGUAAAGCACUUUCAGCGAGGAGGAAAGGUUGGCGGUUAAUACCCGUCAGCUGUGACGUUACUCGCAGAAGAAGCACCGGCUAACUCCGUGCCAGCAGCCGCGGUAAUACGGAGGGUGCGAGCGUUAAUCGGAAUUACUGGGCGUAAAGCGCAUGCAGGCGGCCAAGUCAGUCAGAUGUGAAAGCCCCGGGCUUAACCUGGGAAUUGCAUUUGAUACUGCUUGG
Molecule: ribosomal RNA, 550 nt
Filed under: uncultured bacterium
Lineage: Bacteria
Description: bacterial SSU rRNA
Rfam family: Bacterial small subunit ribosomal RNA
Source: RNAcentral